MicroRNA precursor from Cavia aperea (Brazilian guinea pig), 77 nucleotides. NCBI's taxonomy places the organism in Eukaryota, Metazoa, Chordata, Mammalia, Rodentia, Caviidae. The record is from Ensembl.
CUUGUACUCACUUUGUAGCCCAGGCUGGUCUUCAACUCACAGUGAUCCUCCUGCCUCAGCCUCCUGAGUGCUAGGAU